UUGACCUCAAAUCAGGUAGGACUACCCGCUGAACUUAAGCAUAUCAAUAAGCGGAGGAAAAGAAACUAACAAGGAUUCCCCUAGUAACUGCGAGUGAAGCGGGAAAAGCUCAAAUUUAAAAUCUGGCGGUCUUGCGGCCGUCCGAGUUGUAAUCUGGAGAAGCGUUUAUCCGCGUCGGACCGUGUACAAGUCUUCUGGAAGGGAGCGUCGUAGAGGGUGAGAAUCCCGUCUUUGACACGGACAACCGGUGCUUUUGGGAUGCGCUCUCGAA
This 271-nucleotide ribosomal RNA is filed under the name uncultured Piloderma. Its description in RNAcentral is "partial 28S ribosomal RNA". It matches the Rfam family "Eukaryotic large subunit ribosomal RNA", at positions 1 to 261 of the family's 3401-position model. Lineage: Eukaryota; Fungi; Basidiomycota; Agaricomycetes; Atheliales; Atheliaceae. The record is from RNAcentral.